CAGCACAGGGAGCUUGCUCCCGGGUGGCGAGUGGCGCACGGGUGAGUAAUACAUCGGAACGUGUCCUGUUGUGGGGGAUAACUGCUCGAAAGGGUGGCUAAUACCGCAUGAGACCUGAGGGUGAAAGCGGGGGAUCGCAAGACCUCGCGCAAUUGGAGCGGCCGAUGCCCGAUUAGCUAGUUGGUGAGGUAAAGGCUCACCAAGGCGACGAUCGGUAGCUGGUCUGAGAGGACGACCAGCCACACUGGGACUGAGACACGGCCCAGACUCCUACGGGAGGCAGCAGUGGGGAAUUUUGGACAAUGGGGGCAACCCUGAUCCAGCCAUGCCGCGUGCAGGAUGAAGGCCUUCGGGUUGUAAACUGCUUUUGUCAGGGACGAAAAGGACCGUGUUAAUACCAUGGUCUGCUGACGGUACCUGAAGAAUAAGCACCGGCUAACUACGUGCCAGCAGCCGCGGUAAUACGUAGGGUGCAAGCGUUAAUCGGAAUUACUGGGCGUAAAGCGUGCGCAGGCGGUUCUGUAAGACAGAUGUGAAAUCCCCGGGCUUAACCUGGGAAUUGCAUUUGUGACUGCAGGACUAGAGUUCAUCAGAGGGGGGUGGAAUUCCAAGUGUAGCAGUGAAAUGCGUAGAUAUUUGGAAGAACACCAAUGGCGAAGGCAGCCCCCUGGGAUGCGACUGACGCUCAUGCACGAAAGCGUGAGGAGCAAACAGGAUU
RNAcentral lists this ribosomal RNA (718 nucleotides) under uncultured bacterium. RNAcentral describes it as "bacterial SSU rRNA". It matches the Rfam family "Bacterial small subunit ribosomal RNA", at positions 67 to 779 of the family's 1533-position model. The record is from RNAcentral.